GCAGCAGCCGCGGUAAUACAGAGGGUGCAAGCGUUAGUCGGAAUUACUGGGCGUAAAGCGCGCGUAGGUGGUUUGUUAAGUUGGAUGUGAAAUCCCCGGGCUCAACCUGGGAACUGCAUUCAAAACUGACUGACUAGAGUAUGGUAGAGGGUGGUGGAAUUUCCUGUGUAGCGGUGAAAUGCGUAGAUAUAGGAAGGAACACCAGUGGCGAAGGCGACCACCUGGACUAAUACUGACACUGAGGUGCGAAAGCGUGGGGAGCAAACAGGAUUAGAUACCCGUGUAGUCCCUGUCUCUUAUAC
Molecule: ribosomal RNA, 302 nt
Filed under: uncultured bacterium
Lineage: Bacteria
Description: partial 16S ribosomal RNA
Rfam family: Bacterial small subunit ribosomal RNA
Source: RNAcentral